Molecule: transfer-messenger RNA, 352 nt
Filed under: Treponema sp.
Lineage: Bacteria; Pseudomonadati; Spirochaetota; Spirochaetia; Treponematales; Treponemataceae
Rfam family: transfer-messenger RNA
About the family: Bacterial tmRNA, also known as 10Sa RNA or SsrA, is named for its dual tRNA and mRNA-like properties. Its role is to liberate the mRNA from a stalled ribosome. To accomplish this part of the tmRNA is used as a reading frame that ends in a translation stop signal.
Source: RNAcentral
GGGGGUGCACCGGUUUCGACGGGUGUGGUCGUGGGCUUGAACUGCAGGUGAGGUCGCCGGUCCUCUAAACCGACAAAAUUUAUAACUGCCAACAAUUCAAGCAGUUACGCAAUGGCAGCAUAGUUUGCUUUGCGCGGAAACUUCAUUGUGCCGCUCUGAACGGUGAAUGUUUCUGUCGAUAAUCGGGGCUUGCUGUGAAGGUUGUCUGAUUUCUUUACGGGACUUUUAUCAGAAUAAGGGAAUGACGCUUUCGGUGCUGACACCAUUCCCCGACAAAUAUCUCGCACCGAUAAACCUGUAGACGUUCCUGUCUCCUACAUUCGGACGGGGGUUCAAUUCCCCCCAUCUCCAA